CACGCAGAACUACCUGUCUCACUCAGGUCUCUUCUGGCGUGUCUGGCCUUGGCUACCGCCACUCCCCUCAUCCCACCUGUGAAACGCAUGUACGUUUUGUCAACAUCGCGCCCGUCCACGGCGGCAUUUGGCGCUGCAGUCGGCAACUUCUGCGGCGAUGGGACGACGUACGUCGCGCUGAAUCGUGGAACGCUUCUCUCCCUCUACGUGUGUCGCCAGGGCAACUGUGGAAUCGACCACGUGCAAGACUUUCGCCUGCAUUGCACCUUAAAAUAUGUGCGAGCCGUCCUCAUCGUAGACGCCGCGGCGCCGCAGAAAUACUCACGGCACCUUCUUUUUCUGUGCACCGUCAAGCAGCAGAUUGUCCUCGCCGCCCUUGAGUCAUGCACAGAGCUCAGCGGCGGAGCAUCACCGCUGCGGAUGACAACGCUCUUCCAAAGCGCGCCGGACGACUGCCUGUACCAGUAUGACCCCAGCGAGGUCGAGUUGUGCUGCUGCUCGAGUGCGGUCACGGGUGCAGGCGCGUCGCCCCCGUUCGUUGUCUUUGCUCUGACACGUGGAGAACUCUUUCUUUUUGAUGUCUUUGCCGCCCUCGCCCGCGACGCGGUAAAGCGCAAGCAAAACGGAAACCUGACGCGUUUGCUUUCACCGGAGCUGAUGGCCAGCGUCGCUCGCCGAGCGAAAGCCGACAUCUUCUCCCACUGCUACAUGGACUGCACAGAGUACGACGUAAAGGACAUCUCCUUUGGAUUUCCUUCUCCAUGGCUGAAGGGGCAGGUCCACGGCACUGGCCCGCGGCCUGGCACAGCGGCAAUGAAGGGGGACAACGCUUCCGCGUCCACCUCUCUGUUCGUGCUCUACGGGGACCCGUACGGCAAGGUGCACGUGUCUGAGUAUGAGCUUGCCGUAUCGCCUGCCACAGAGGCCGAGGCGGCGAGCGAGACUAGCAGCGUGGAAAGCUCGAUCCGUCCACCGGCUCGUCCGCCAGCCUAUCCUGCCGAGUUCGCCACGCCGGCUCGCCGAGUGCGCCGUUGCGGAUUGCUGCAGGCGAAUGUCGAUCCCACGGCCUCGCGCAUCGUUUUUAGUCGUCACGGCCUGUUCGUUGUGGGCAAUCACCUUGUGACGCUUAUCCAGCAAGUCCGGCCGCGCAAGGGUGUGUUUUCGCGCGAGAUUCCCUCGCGGCAGGCUAUCCUGGAUGUGAGCUGCGCGUCCGUUUCCGCCGAUGCGUCAGAGCUGCUGAUCGGGUUCAGCGACGGUGUCCUUGCACGGGUGACGGUGGUCUCUAGGGGCAUGGUCGGCGAAGACCCGGAGUUGGCGUUUCGCUUUUUGUCUCGUCCGGCGCCGACGAUCCCGACGGAGGUGAUCACUCUGCACGCCGAUCUUUAUUUGCUAUGCUCACGAUUCGACAGCAGUUUCACCGUGCGGCUCGAUGAGGCGUCGUGCGAGGAGGUGCUGCAUAACUGCGGGCCGGUCUUAGACAUGACCACACAUCAAAACGGCAGUCGAUACAGCGUUGUGGCCUCCACCGGCAUCCACCGCGGCGGCGGCAUCAGCGUCCUGCGAAGCGCUGUCAUGCUGCGGGAGCAGGCGGACAUUCCCCUUUGCUUCCACCCGCAGCGCGUCCUUUGCGCCGGCGAGUUGAUGUGCAUCACGACGGCGGCCGCAGCGAACCGGUUCUUCCUUGUGUCGGCGCGCGCGCUCACGCUGAAGGAGCUCGCGCCUCAUGUGUUCCCGGAUAUCGUUUCGCGCCACCUGCUCGUCGAGCUGGGCCUCGAUGCUGCGCUCGACAAGUUGGUGCUCGUUUCCGCCCGUGGUAUAGCCUGGCUGCGGUUGUCGGGACCUCGAGUCGAGGCGGUGUCGCAACUGCCCCGCCAAGCCGAUGACCCGCUAAUCCUUUUUGCCGUCGUUCGACACGGCUUAACAGUCGUCUGCGACGGGAUCGUCGUAAGCGUGUACCGUGGCCAGGACCUGGUGCACACGGUGCCGUCUCUCGCCGGCGUCGCCAUCUCUUCGGUGUCGCUAGUGAGCCCUACGCUGCUCGUCGUGGGACAGUGGAACGGCGUUGUCGCCUUGUACGAGCUGGGGCGCCGCCAAGCCGACGUGGUAGGGCGACUGCUGUUGGACUCCGUGCCACGCACUAUCGCGUGCGCGGUACCGACGCCUUCACCGUCGUCAGUGGUGACCGAGGCUGCGUUGGCGAUCAUCUACGUUGGCACCCUCCACGGCGUUCUCGUGGAGACCACGGUUGCGCUCCUGCGUCGUGGGGAGACGCGUCGCUCUGUGUUCGUCGCCCCGCACCCACUCGAGCUCCUAGAGCUUGCAGGGCCGCACCCGGGGUUGCUGUGCCUCGGCAAUGUCCCCCUGGUCGUACUGUGUGUCGCGGGUGGCGGUCUGCAGCUGACCGGGCUGCACCUGAUGGGCGUCUCGGCAGCCGCGACGGUGGACGCCGACUUACAGUGCUACGCCUUUUACUCCAAGCAAGAUGGUCGCCUUCACAUUGGCUCCCUUGAGGCGCUCGAGAAGACGUCGCGGACGUUCUUGCCCCUCGGCGAAACGAUCACGCAGCUGCACGAAGCCGCUGCCUGGGGUGGCUACGUGGCAUCUGUGCGCAAGGUGGAAGGGGACGAGGUUCUUUUUCUCCCGUCGUCUGCCAUACAGUUCCCGUGGGCCGCCGACCUAUCUCUGUGGCGCUCUGCCGCCGUGCCGCUCCUCGAAAACGAGCGCUGUGUCUUUCUAGAGACGGUGCGGCUGGACGGUGCUGAGGGUGGCGGAGUGGGAGAAAGGGGUGGCGACCCGAUCGACGUGCCGGCGAGCGACGGCGCUGGUGUGAGCGAGGAGGAGUGGCAGCACCUGCUGCUCAUCGGCUCCUCAUUCACGUUUCCGGAUGAGCAGCGCGCGCGCUCCGGAAGGAUUACGUGGUGUACUCUGCGUGAGGAGCGUCAGCGGCAACGCCUGCACCUGAUCGCGAGCAAGGACAUUGGUGGCGCGCUGCAGUGCUGCGCUGCGGUGCCGCACUACAAGGGCCGCAUCGCGCUUGGCGUAAACGGUUGUGUCUGUUUGUACCAGUGGAAUACGGAGGAUCAAACCUUCGUGGCCGAGGAGCGCUGCCGUGUCGGGCUCACAGUGACAAAGCUGAUACCCCUCUACCACACAUCUCUGGCCGCCUCGGUGCUCGUUGCGUUGGACGUGCGCCACAGCGCCUUCUUCAUCGAGGUGGACACGUUGCAGGGAAACCUCAAGGUCCUUUGCCGCGAUGCCGACCUGCGCGGCAUCAUGGACGGCCACGUCGGCUCCGACGCCGAGAACCUCUGCCUCUUCGAUGAUAGCCUGAACUUCACGGCGUUAAAGGUGGUGCCUUUGCCUGUUGAGGCCAGGGACGGCGAUGCCGCUGCAGCAGCCCGUGCGACCGCGCAGUACCGGUUUGAAGUGCGUGCGCAAUGCCACCUGGGAGACUUGGUGACGUGCGUGCGGCAGGGCAGCUUUGCCGCCACGUCGCUGAUGGAGGCACCCGCGCACUGCUCAUCGGCGCAGAAUCAACUGCUUUUGCCGGGAAUUGCUGGUCCACAGCUCGUGUUCGCUACGGCGCACGGCGGCUUUGGUGUGGUGACGCCAGUGCACGCCGCCACGUACCUUGUCCUGCGCGCCCUUGAGGCGUCGCUGGUGCGCACGGUGCCACCCGUGGGUGGUCUCUCGCACCAGGCCUUCCGCGAGGUCUUACGCGCCGGCCAAGAGCGAGGGGUGAGCUACCUUGCGUCCAAGACGGGGUGCGCGCUGACGCGGGAGCGCUUGCGUCGGUAUGAGCCGCUCAACACUGUCGACGGCGACGUGGUAGAGCAGUUUGUGCUGCUCUCGCCGAGCGACAAGAAACACGUCUGCCGCGUCGCCACAGAGGUGUUUCUCCACGCCUUUACUCAGUGCGUCAAUGAGUCCGGGAUUUUUGUUGCGCCACCAUCGAAAGAGGAGCAGUGCAUCCUCGCGACCCUAGGAACAGCAAUGCGACCUUUUGCACAGUACCCCGAGGAGACGAUCGCCCAAGCGAAUUCGUUUCUGCAUCAAGGUGGCCUUCCGCAUGUCCCAUUCGCUGCGGAGGCGGUAGAGCAGCAGGUUAUGAAUCUUCAGCGGAUGCACUAAUCGCCGCCCGCCAGACACCGAGAAAGGCCCUGCGUGCGUGUUUUUGUGUGUUGCAUCUUUUUUUUUGUUGUUGUUUUUUGCUCCUUUGUGUCUGUCGAUUAAGAGGUCCUUCCUCGCCCAC
Molecule: unclassified non-coding RNA, 4252 nt
Filed under: Leishmania donovani
Lineage: Eukaryota; Euglenozoa; Kinetoplastea; Trypanosomatida; Trypanosomatidae
Description: gene:LdHU3.30.5020(CDS-product:CPSF-domain_protei n_putative)
Source: RNAcentral